Molecule: transfer RNA, 86 nt
Filed under: Holosporales bacterium
Lineage: Bacteria; Pseudomonadati; Pseudomonadota; Alphaproteobacteria; Holosporales
Description: tRNA-Leu
Rfam family: tRNA
About the family: Transfer RNA (tRNA) molecules are approximately 80 nucleotides in length. Their secondary structure includes four short double-helical elements and three loops (D, anti-codon, and T loops).
Source: RNAcentral
GCCUGCUUGGUGGAAUUGGUAGACACAACAGACUUAAAAUCUGUCGCUCUAUGGGCUUGCCGGUUCGAGUCCGGCAGCAGGUACCA